GAUGAACGCUGGCGGCGUGCGUAACACAUGCAAGUUGAACGACGGUGCCAUGAAGUGGUAACACGGAGUGGUAUACGGAGUAGCGGACGGGUGAGUAAAGCAUGAGAAUCUGUCCUGUCGAGGGGGAUAACGUUCGGAAACGGACCCUAAUACCCCAUAGUCCGAGAGGUUAAAGGCAGCGAUGCGCGGCAGGAGGAGCUCGUGUCCUAUCAGCUAGUUGGUGAGGUAACGGCUCACCAAGGCUUCGGCGGGUAGCCGGCCUGAGAGGGUGACCGGCCACACUGGAACUGAGAAACGGUCCAGACUCCUACGGGAGGCAGCAGUGGGGAAUAUUGGGCAAUGGGAGGAAUCCUGACCCAGCGACGCCGCGUGAACGAAGACGGCCUUCGGGUUGUAAAGU
This 400-nucleotide ribosomal RNA is filed under the name Synergistetes bacterium oral taxon 360. Its description in RNAcentral is "bacterial SSU rRNA". It matches the Rfam family "Bacterial small subunit ribosomal RNA", at positions 28 to 431 of the family's 1533-position model. The record is from RNAcentral. Lineage: Bacteria; Thermotogati; Synergistota.